RNAcentral lists this long non-coding RNA (606 nucleotides) under Ornithorhynchus anatinus (platypus). RNAcentral describes it as "lncRNA (ENSOANG00000038272.1)". The record is from RNAcentral. Lineage: Eukaryota; Metazoa; Chordata; Mammalia; Monotremata; Ornithorhynchidae.
AUGUGGAUAAGAAGAAACACAUUCUCAUUUUUCUCCUACUGUUGUAAUAACCCAAGCCAUCAUGUAAUACAUACUGUUUAUUUCAGUCUUGCAGAGAAGUACAAAACAUUUACUAGCUCACAAAUUGUUUUACUUACCACUCUCCCCUCAGGUUUCUCAGCCUUUGCCCUCCAGUCAAUCUGCAGUCACAACUCCACACCAGCCAGGGAUUUUAUGACUCUAAGGAUUAGAAGCUGUUAUCCCAACAAACCCUGGAGCUCUAUAUAUUCUCAUUUUAUGACCGUGUGAAAGGCAAAAAGUGUGCAACAACCAGGUACCGGGGUUUAAAAUCAACGGGAAGAGCUGUCACUGCUUUGUGUUUAAAAAGGAGUCGGAAGAAAUCCGUAUGGGGAGACGGAAUAAUAAAAGUCAGAUCUGCCGACUGAUCGCCCGGGCUUGUUUCAAGCACCCUGAUUUAGAAAUAAAUGAAGAAUCGGAACCUCUCUCCACAGAGAAGAUGCUAUCCUCAUUAGUCUCGUCGGUGGCUCUCAUCAUUUGUUUUAAAGGCGAUCUUGGUAUUUCACGUGAUGGGACCUUGCCUCUUUAAAAUGAGGUUUUCCUUGACUA